CUCAAAUAUCUUUCUUGGAUAAAUAAAGUUAUUUAAAUCAAUGUGACAUCAAAAUUAUUUCGAUACCUGUAAAAUAUCGGCGUUCGUGCUCAUUUGAAAAUCGCUCGUACAAGAAUCGAAUUUGCCCAAUAGUUGUCAAGACAAGAUAAUUCACAGCUCGCUUUCCAAGUUUAGAGGCAGUUAUGAUCUAGAAUAUGUUUCAAUACGUAAAAAUUGUGUUCCUAUCAUAAUAAAACAUGACCAGGUGCAAUACAGAAAAAACCAGGGAAGUGGCUUGGUCAAGUGACUUACUCUCAAAAUACUAAUAUAGAAUUACGCACUAAUAUUUCCUUUAGGAAGCAGAUACAAGAAGAACAUCAUCGCUUUGUUAGCCCUUUCUGUCACUUGCCUGUUGAUAUGAUGCUGUUAGUAUAAAUUGGUGGAGCUUAAACCAUUUAUCCCCUCUACAUUUGUGCAAGAACCUAAGAGUUUAAUGGAGGUUGACAGAUGGAAAGCUACAGAAUUCAGACAGUCUCUUUUGUUUACAGGCAAAAUUUCUUUAAGCCGUCAAUGAAAUCUAAUCAACAAAUUCUAGAAAUUUGCCGGUGUACAGCGAGCUGAUCUCCCUUGCAGAAAAAGAUUUAUAUGACGGUGAACUAGCACCAGAAAUCCUAAACACAAAGGAUCAUGCAAUAACUUCCCCAUCUACUAGUAGGACACCAUCUCAGCGUAGUGAUACAAGCAACGUCUCUUCACAAGGAAUUCUUACAACUAACACAACAGGAGAAAGACAUUCUCAACGAAACAGUGGUGUCUUAG
This is a long non-coding RNA of Xenia sp. Carnegie-2017, 798 nucleotides long. RefSeq lists it as uncharacterized. The record is from RefSeq and is a predicted model, not a curated record. The transcript has 6 exons. Lineage: Eukaryota; Metazoa; Cnidaria; Anthozoa; Malacalcyonacea; Xeniidae.